Molecule: ribosomal RNA, 387 nt
Filed under: uncultured bacterium
Lineage: Bacteria
Description: bacterial SSU rRNA
Rfam family: Bacterial small subunit ribosomal RNA
Source: RNAcentral
GACGAACGCUGGCGGCGUGCUUAACACAUGCAAGUCGAGCGGUAAGGCCCUUUCGGGGUACGACGAGCGGCGAACGGGUGAGUAACACGUGGGUGACCUGCCCUCAGCUCUGGGAUAAGCCUGGGAAACUGGGUCUAAUACUGGAUAUGACUCCACGGUGCAUGUCGUGGGGUGGAAAGCCUUGUGCGGCUGAGGAUGGGCCCGCGGCCUAUCAGCUUGUUGGUGGGGUGAUGGCCUACCAAGCGACGACGGGUAGCCGGCCUGAGAGGGCGACCGGCCACACUGGGACUGAGAUACGGCCCAGACUCCUACGGGAGGCAGCAGUGGGGAAUCUUGCGCAAUGGGCGAAAGCCUGACGCAGCGACGCCGCGUGAGGGAUGACGGCCU